Molecule: unclassified non-coding RNA, 307 nt
Filed under: plant metagenome
Description: partial contains 5.8S ribosomal RNA, internal transcribed spacer 2, and large subunit ribosomal RNA
Rfam family: 5.8S ribosomal RNA (bases 1-105)
Source: RNAcentral
GAAAUGCGAUAAGUAGUGUGAAUUGCAGAAUUCAGUGAAUCAUCGAAUCUUUGAACGCACAUUGCGCCCUUUGGUAUUCCAAAGGACAUGCCUGUUCGAGCGUCAUUUGUACCCUCAAGCUUUGCUUGGUGUUGGGCGUCUUGUCUCUAGCUUUGCUGGAGACUCGCCUUAAAGUAAUUGGCAGCCGGCCUACUGGUUUCGGAGCGCAGCACAAGUCGCACUCUCUAUCAGCAAAGGUCUAGCAUCCAUUAAGCCUUUUUUCAACUUUUGACCUCGGAUCAGGUAGGGAUACCCGCUGAACUUAAGC